Molecule: unclassified non-coding RNA, 240 nt
Filed under: Hevea brasiliensis (rubber tree)
Lineage: Eukaryota; Viridiplantae; Streptophyta; Magnoliopsida; Malpighiales; Euphorbiaceae
Source: RNAcentral
GGAGCUGAGGGAAGUGGCGGCGGGGUACGGGGUGGUGGCGUGUAAGAGUGCUUGUGAGGCGUUUGGGUCGCCGGAGUAUUGCUGUAGCGGCGUGUACGGGAGCCCGGGGACUUGCCGGCCGUCGGCGUACGCGGCGUAUUUUAAGAGUGCUUGUCCGAGGGCGUAUAGCUACGCGUAUGAUGAUGCCACGUCGACGUUUACGUGCAUGGGAGCUGACUAUGUUAUCACGUUCUGUCCCGG